Molecule: long non-coding RNA, 678 nt
Organism: Oreochromis niloticus (Nile tilapia)
Lineage: Eukaryota; Metazoa; Chordata; Actinopteri; Cichliformes; Cichlidae
Exons: 3
Source: RefSeq, a predicted model, not a curated record
UGUGAUACAACAUGACACAAAGUCUGUCUUUAAAACAUGUGUUUGACUUUAAGAGAAGUGUCCUGAUCGAUGGACGAGAUUUGGAAGCAGCUGUUACUUUAAAUCCACUGAGAGGAAAACUUGGUCUGACAGCAGGAGAGACUGUCAGGAUAAAGGAGCUGAUCUGGUGAUGAUAAACAGCAAAGAGGAACAGGAAUUUAUCAAUGAACUGAACAUGAGAGGAGAGUCCUGGAUUGGUCUGGAACGCUAUUCUCAGAAACAUGAAUGGAAAUGGGUGGAUGGAUCACUGCUGACAGAAAUGUUCUGGGCACCAGGAAAGCAGAGUGACAGUUUGGUUUACUAUGCAGCUUGUUGUGACAGUGAUGGGAGAUGGACACAGUCAUAUGAUCCUGAAUCAAAGACCUUCAUCUGUGAGAAAUGAGUUUGGUGCUUUGAUGUAAAUGUUUGAAUAAUCCAACCAAAGACACCUCACUAUGAAAUGUCCUGCAUGAGCCUCAGACUCAGCUCACAGUUGUUACUUGUUCAUUCUGCAUCAUAUAUUGAUUACAUAUAUUGUCCCUCUGUGCUCUGUGCUGUACAGUAAGGUUGGAAGUCAUCCACACAAAAACUUGAAGUACUUCAUUACUCUGUAGUUCCAGCAAAUUGUUCUAAUAAAAGUCAAAGUGCAGCUUGUCUUUA